Molecule: ribosomal RNA, 403 nt
Filed under: uncultured bacterium
Lineage: Bacteria
Description: partial 16S ribosomal RNA
Rfam family: Bacterial small subunit ribosomal RNA
Source: RNAcentral
AUUGAACGCUGCGGCAGGCUUAACACAUGCAAGUCGAGCGAGCGGCGGACGGGUGAGUAAUGCUUAGGAAUCUGCCUAUUAGUGGGGGACAACAUCUCGAAAGGGAUGCUAAUACCGCAUACUAAUAGAUGAGCCUAGUCGGAUUAGCUAGUUGGUGGGGUAAAGGCCUACCAAAGCGACGAUCGGUUGCGGGUCUGAGAGGAUGAUCCGCCAGACGUUGACGGGGACCCGGCCGAGAAUCCAACGGUGGGCAACAGUGGGGAAGAUGGACAAUGGGGAGAAGCGUAAUCCAGCCACGGCGCGUGUGCGAUUAAGGGCCGAUGGAUGUAAAGCUCUCUAAGAGUGGAGGCAUUACUCGCAGAGUAAGCACCGGCUAACUCUGUGCCAGCAGCCGCGGUAAUAC